Molecule: ribosomal RNA, 254 nt
Filed under: uncultured prokaryote
Description: partial 16S ribosomal RNA
Rfam family: Bacterial small subunit ribosomal RNA
Source: RNAcentral
UACGGAGGGUGCAAGCGUUGUUCGGAAUUAUUGGGCGUAAAGCGCGCGCAGGCGGCCUGGGAAGUCCACGGGUGAAAUGCCGGAGCUCAACUCCGCGCAGGCCCAGGAUACUCCCAGGCUAGAGACAUGUAGAGGCGAGCGGAAUUCCGGGUGUAGCGGUGGAAUGCGUAGAGAUCCGGAAGAACACCAGAGGCGAAGGCGGCUCGCUGGGCAUGAUCUGACGCUGAGGCGCGAAAGCGUGGGGAGCGAACAGG